UCAUGAGCAGAUGAGCGAACAAGAAUUUUGAGUAUUCAUCAACAUUAAACUCACAAAAUCAAGGCAAAAACCAAGAAUUUUAUUAUGCAAGAUCCAUGUCUCUAAAAGAAAAACAAGAAAUUCUUGAUGAAGAGCAGCCACAACUGAUCAUCAGAAUUUUAGAGAACAAAAUUUCCUACCUCAAUCUUCUACGUUCUCAGCACAAACAAAAACAAAAAAAAAAGUCGGGAAUAAGAGAGCAGAAGAAAGUUUCGGAUUCUCCUCCACGAAUACGCCGUCGCCGCCUUCUUUCUUCCUACCCUUGGCAGAUGCCUCCUCCGUUGACAGCUUCAUCCUCCGUCUCCAACAGCAGCAUCCCUC
Molecule: long non-coding RNA, 360 nt
Filed under: Salvia miltiorrhiza (redroot sage)
Lineage: Eukaryota; Viridiplantae; Streptophyta; Magnoliopsida; Lamiales; Lamiaceae
Description: long non-coding RNA (SMIL_LNC010821)
Source: RNAcentral